GGUCCCGUAGCUCAGUAGGAUAGAGCGACAGAUUCCUAAUCUGUAGGUCACA
This 52-nucleotide transfer RNA is filed under the name Brucella anthropi. RNAcentral describes it as "tRNA-Arg". It matches the Rfam family "tRNA", at positions 1 to 49 of the family's 71-position model. Rfam says of the family: Transfer RNA (tRNA) molecules are approximately 80 nucleotides in length. Their secondary structure includes four short double-helical elements and three loops (D, anti-codon, and T loops). Further hydrogen bonds mediate the characteristic L-shaped molecular structure. tRNAs have two regions of fundamental functional importance: the anti-codon, which is responsible for specific mRNA codon recognition, and the 3' end, to which the tRNAs corresponding amino acid is attached (by aminoacyl-tRNA synthetases). tRNAs cope with the degeneracy of the genetic code in two manners: having more than one tRNA (with a specific anti-codon) for a particular amino acid; and 'wobble' base-pairing, i.e. permitting non-standard base-pairing at the 3rd anti-codon position. The record is from RNAcentral. Lineage: Bacteria; Pseudomonadati; Pseudomonadota; Alphaproteobacteria; Hyphomicrobiales; Brucellaceae.